RNAcentral lists this ribosomal RNA (372 nucleotides) under uncultured organism. RNAcentral describes it as "bacterial SSU rRNA". It matches the Rfam family "Bacterial small subunit ribosomal RNA", at positions 526 to 896 of the family's 1533-position model. The record is from RNAcentral.
CAGAGGGUGCGAACGUUGCUCGGAAUUACUGGGCGUAAAGCGCAUGUAGGCGGAUCCAUAAGUCGGGCGUGAAAUCCCCAGGCUCAACCUGGGAACUGCGCUCGAAACUGUGGGUCUUGAGUGUCGGAGAGGAUGGCGGAAUUCCUGGUGUAGAGGUGAAAUUCGUAGAUAUCAGGAGGAACACCGGUGGCGAAGGCGGCCAUCUGGACGACAACUGACGCUGAGAUGCGAAAGCGUGGGGAGCAAACAGGAUUAGAUACCCUGGUAGUCCACGCCGUAAACGAUGGGUGCUAGGUGUCUCGGGUAUUGACCCCUGAGGUGCCGUAGCUAACGCGUUAAGCACCCCGCCUGGGAAGUACGGUCGCAAGACUA